GAUGAACGCUGGCGGCGUGCCUAAUACAUGCAAGUAGAACGCUGAAGCUUGGUGCUUGCACCGAGCGGAUGAGUUGCGAACGGGUGAGUAACGCGUAGGUAACCUGCCUCUUAGCGGGGGAUAACUAUUGGAAACGAUAGCUAAUACCGCAUAAAAGUCGAUAUCGCAUGAUAUUGAUUUGAAAGGUGCAAAUGCAUCACUAAGAGAUGGACCUGCGUUGUAUUAGCUAGUUGGUGAGGUAACGGCUCACCAAGGCGACGAUACAUAGCCGACCUGAGAGGGUGAUCGGCCACACUGGGACUGAGACACGGCCCAGACUCCUACGGGAGGCAGCAGUAGGGAAUCUUCGGCAAUGGGGGCAACCCUGACCGAGCAACGCCGCGUGAGUGAAGAAGGUUUUCGGAUCGUAAAGCUCUGUUGUAAGAGAAGAACGAGUGUGAGAGUGGAAAGUUCACACUGUGACGGUAACUUACCAGAAAGGGACGGCUAACUACGU
This 496-nucleotide ribosomal RNA is filed under the name uncultured bacterium. RNAcentral's name for it is "partial 16S ribosomal RNA". It matches the Rfam family "Bacterial small subunit ribosomal RNA", at positions 28 to 506 of the family's 1533-position model. The record is from RNAcentral.